GAGACUCUGUGCGCGUGCAUAUCAAUAAGCGGAGGAAAAGAAACUAACAAGGAUUCCCUUAGUAACGGCGAGUGAAGCGGGAAGAGCUCAAAUUUGAAAUCUUCAAGGUUCUACCUUGACGAAUUGUAGUUUAUAGAAGUGUUUUCUGUUAGUGGAGUGGCAAAAGUUCUUUGGAAUAGGACAUCAUAGAGGGUGAGAAUCCCGUAUUUGGUCAUUCCUCCUAGCGUUGUGAUACACUUUCAACGAGUCGGAUUGUUUGGGAAUGCAGUCCAAAAUGGGUGGUAAAUUUCAUCUAAAGCUAAAUAUUGGCGAGAGACCGAUAGCGAACAAGUACCGUGAGGGAAAGAUGAAAAGAACUUUGAAAAGAGAGUUAAACAGUACGUGAAAUUGUCAAAAGGGAAGCGUUUGACACCAGUGUUGUUUUUCCGAAAAUCAAUUACGAAUGUUUUGUUUUUGAGGAGUUAUGACUUCAUCGGCUUGCUCCUUUCUUUACGAAACUUUCUUAAUGCACUUUUCGGUUAACAAGUCAACAUCAAUUUCUUUUGUUGUAAAAGGGUAUGAGGAAGGUGGCUUUCUUUUCGGAGAAAGUGUUUAUAGCCUUGUAGCCUCUGCAAUCGGAGAGAUUGAGGUCUGCAGCGUAGAUCCCUUCGGGGUUAGAUACAGUUUGUGCUAUGUUAUAGCUUUUCAUAGACAACUUGUUGACUAUGUUAGUCUUGUAGCUUACUCGCUGAUGCUAUUUUACCUACGCUUAGGAUGUUGACAGCAGUAUAGACUGU
This 776-nucleotide ribosomal RNA is filed under the name uncultured Neocallimastigales. RNAcentral describes it as "partial large subunit ribosomal RNA". It matches the Rfam family "Eukaryotic large subunit ribosomal RNA", at positions 23 to 635 of the family's 3401-position model. Lineage: Eukaryota; Fungi; Neocallimastigomycota; Neocallimastigomycetes; Neocallimastigales. The record is from RNAcentral.